GCGGAAGAUCGGGCAGCCGCUGCAGAAAUUUUCUGCAGAGGAAAGUCCGGGCACCACAGGGCAGGAAACCCCGUGAUGAGCGGGGGGCCCGUAAGGGUAUGGAAAGUGCCACAGAGAAUAGACCGCUCCUGCUCUUUUGGGGGCAGGGGUGAGACGUGAAAAGGCGGGGUAAGAGCCCACCGUCCCGAAACUUUCGGGAGCUGGUAAACCCUUUCCGGUGCAAGGCCAAGUAAAGGGGGAUCCUGUUUACAGGACGAAGUGGUCCGCUUCGAUUCUCCCAGGGUAGGCUGCUAAAUGUCCCGUGAAAACGGGGCCAGAUAAAUGGCUGCCUCUUCUGUUAUGCAGAAAAGACAGAACCCGGCUUACAGAUCUUCCGCCAUU
RNAcentral lists this RNase P RNA (381 nucleotides) under Fibrobacter sp. RNAcentral's name for it is "RNase P RNA component class A". It matches the Rfam family "Bacterial RNase P class A". From Rfam's summary of the family: Ribonuclease P (RNase P) is a ubiquitous endoribonuclease, found in archaea, bacteria and eukarya as well as chloroplasts and mitochondria. Its best characterised activity is the generation of mature 5'-ends of tRNAs by cleaving the 5'-leader elements of precursor-tRNAs. Cellular RNase Ps are ribonucleoproteins. Lineage: Bacteria; Pseudomonadati; Fibrobacterota; Fibrobacteria; Fibrobacterales; Fibrobacteraceae. The record is from RNAcentral.